GUUCCAUCUUGAAAAGAUCCUCCAUCCCUGUGAAGAUCACACCCAUUGUCCAAUCAGAUCUUCGCAAGAGUGGCCUUUAUUGGCGUGAAAGAGGCCAAACUGAGAGCACUGAGUUCUCAUUUUCCCGGUUCUUGACCCCUUACUUAGCUGGUUUUGAUGGGUGGGCUGUGUUUGUUGAUUGUGAUUUUCUUUAUUUGGCGGAUAUUAAGGAGUUGUGUGACUUGAUUGAUGAUAAGUAUGCUAUUAUGUGUGUCCAUCAUGAUUAUACCCCUAAAGAGACCACAAAAAUGGACGGGGCGGUGCAAACCGUGUACCCGAGGAAGAAUUGGUCAUCUAUGGUUUUGUACAAUUGUGGGCAUCCGAAGAACAAGAUACUGACACCUGAGGUUGUGAACACGCAGACAGGUGCAUUUCUUCACAGGUUCCAGUGGCUUGAGGAUGAAGAAAUUGGGUCAAUCCCAUUUGUAUGGAACUUUCUUGAGGGUCACAACAUGGUUGUUGAGAAUGACCCCACGACAUUCCCAAAAGCGAUACAUUAUACUCGUGGGGGGCCAUGGUUUGAAGCUUGGAAGCACUGUGAGUUUGCCGAUCUUUGGUUGAAGGAGAUGGAAGAGUACAAGAAUGAAGCUAACAAGACAGUUGAAAAAUAG
Molecule: long non-coding RNA, 650 nt
Filed under: Citrus sinensis (sweet orange)
Lineage: Eukaryota; Viridiplantae; Streptophyta; Magnoliopsida; Sapindales; Rutaceae
Description: long non-coding RNA (CSIN_LNC002963)
Source: RNAcentral